ACUGCUUCUUCAACGGCAGCACCGGACAAAGCCCCGUCGCUCAACCAUGGAAUUCUCAAUCUUCAGAUCCUGCAACAUGGGAAAAAAUGCAACACCUCCUGGAGGCUUCACAAACUUUAUUCAGCCUAACUUGUUUCAACAGUUUAAUUUUGUUGGAGAACCUUCUCCGUUUGCCCCAUUCAAGCCGCCACAGAGUUUGCAAGAUUUUCAGUCAGAAGAAGAAUUCUUGACUUUCCUAAUUCAUCAAGGGACAAUACAUAUGUUAAUGUUGACAGUGGUGAUAAGGCACCUAGGACUGAGAAGCGAAUCUUCUGGACUCAAGAUGAAGAUGUCAGGAUGAUGAGCUCUUGGCUGCUCAAUUCAGCAGACUCAACCAUCGGUACCAUUGGUGCUGAUAGGAAGAAUGACCAAUAUUGGACUGAUGUUGAGGCUAUGUACAAUGAGACUACACCAAAGUUAUAGGCGCAGAAAUGCCAAGCAAAUCAAGGAUCGUUUCCAUAAUGUAAAUAAGUGGACUGACCUUUUCCAUAAUGCUUGGUUGAAGGCGAUCAAAUGUGGAUUGAGAAGGCCCAUGUACUUAUAUAAAAGACAAUGAGAAACUCAAUCUAGAUUGUUUUGUGUUGAUGGAAGUAUGGAACACUGUUAAAAUUGAAGCAAAGUGGAUUACAUACAACAAUAGGCUCAAAGCAGCAAGAAAAAGAAAGAGUUCAGGCAGGGAGUAGGAAGGAGAUGAUAGUAGCCAUAUAGAUGAAGAUCAACUUGACAAACAACCAAGGCCAAUGGAGCAAAAAGCUGCUAAAAAGCUAAAAUAUGCCAAAAGUAAGGAGGUGGACCAUAUUGAUCUUGAGGAGUUGGAUAACUUUGGUAAAAUACAGUGUGAAGAGCAUGCAAACAGGCUGAAAGUAUUGGAAGUGCAGCAAGGCAGGGAGAAGGAAGGAGAUGAUAGUAGCCAUAUAGAUGAAGAUCAACGUGACAAACAACCAAGGCCAAUGGAGCAAAAAUCUGCUAAAAAGUUAAAAUAUGCCAAAAGUAAGGAGGUGGACCAU
Molecule: long non-coding RNA, 1046 nt
Organism: Panicum virgatum (switchgrass)
Lineage: Eukaryota; Viridiplantae; Streptophyta; Magnoliopsida; Poales; Poaceae
Exons: 3
Source: RefSeq, a predicted model, not a curated record